GUCUACGGCCAUGCCACCAUGAACAAGCCCGAUCCCGUCUGAUCUCAGAAGCUAAGCAGGGUCGGGCCUGGUUAGUACUUGGAUGGGACACCACCGCCUAGGAAGACCAGGUGCUGUAAGCG
RNAcentral lists this ribosomal RNA (122 nucleotides) under Pteropus alecto (black flying fox). The record is from RNAcentral. Lineage: Eukaryota; Metazoa; Chordata; Mammalia; Chiroptera; Pteropodidae.